This 548-nucleotide ribosomal RNA is filed under the name uncultured bacterium. Its description in RNAcentral is "bacterial SSU rRNA". It matches the Rfam family "Bacterial small subunit ribosomal RNA", at positions 777 to 1319 of the family's 1533-position model. The record is from RNAcentral.
AAUAGAUACCCGGGUAGUCCACGCCGUAAACGGUGGGCACUAGGUGUGGGCAGCAUUCCACGUUGUCCGUGCCGUAGCUAACGCAUUAAGUGCCCCGCCUGGGGAGUACGGCCGCAAGGCUAAAACUCAAAGGAAUUGACGGGGGCCCGCACAAGCGGCGGAGCAUGUGGCUUAAUUCGACGCAACGCGAAGAACCUUACCAAGGCUUGACAUACACCGGAAACAUCCAGAGAUGGGUGCCCCCUUGUGGUCGGUGUACAGGUGGUGCAUGGCUGUCGUCAGCUCGUGUCGUGAGGUGUUGGGUUAAGUCCCGCAACGAGCGCAACCCUUGUCCCGUGUUGCCAGCAGGCCCUUGUGGUGCUGGGGACUCACGGGAGACCGCCGGGGUCAACCCGGAGGAAGGUGGGGACGACGUCAAGUCAUCAUGCCCCUUAUGUCUUGGGCUGCACACGUGCUACAAUGGCCGGUACAAAGAGCUGCGAUACCGUGAGGUGGAGCGAAUCUCAAAAAGCCGGUCUCAGUUCGGAUUGGGGUCUGCAACUGACCCC